This 23-nucleotide non-coding RNA is filed under the name Arabidopsis thaliana (thale cress). The record is from RNAcentral. Lineage: Eukaryota; Viridiplantae; Streptophyta; Magnoliopsida; Brassicales; Brassicaceae.
AUUCCGAAAUGCCAAACUCGAAA